GCCUGAGGUAGCUCUGCUGGUAGAGCAUGAGACUCUUAAUCUCAAGGUCAUGGGUUCGAGCCCCACAUUGGGCA
RNAcentral lists this transfer RNA (74 nucleotides) under Podarcis lilfordi (Lilford's wall lizard). Its description in RNAcentral is "tRNA.Lys". It matches the Rfam family "tRNA". Rfam says of the family: Transfer RNA (tRNA) molecules are approximately 80 nucleotides in length. Their secondary structure includes four short double-helical elements and three loops (D, anti-codon, and T loops). Further hydrogen bonds mediate the characteristic L-shaped molecular structure. tRNAs have two regions of fundamental functional importance: the anti-codon, which is responsible for specific mRNA codon recognition, and the 3' end, to which the tRNAs corresponding amino acid is attached (by aminoacyl-tRNA synthetases). tRNAs cope with the degeneracy of the genetic code in two manners: having more than one tRNA (with a specific anti-codon) for a particular amino acid; and 'wobble' base-pairing, i.e. permitting non-standard base-pairing at the 3rd anti-codon position. The record is from RNAcentral. Lineage: Eukaryota; Metazoa; Chordata; Lepidosauria; Squamata; Lacertidae.